Molecule: ribosomal RNA, 253 nt
Filed under: uncultured bacterium
Lineage: Bacteria
Description: partial 16S ribosomal RNA
Rfam family: Bacterial small subunit ribosomal RNA
Source: RNAcentral
UACAGAGGUCCCAAGCGUUGUUCGGAUUCACUGGGCGUAAAGGGUGCGUAGGCGGUCGGGUAAGUCUGAUGUGAAAUCUCACAGCUUAACUGUGAAACUGCAUUGGAUACUAUCCGGCUAGAGGAAUGGAGAGGAGACUGGAAUACUUGGUGUAGCAGUGAAAUGCGUAGAUAUCAAGUGGAACACCAGUGGCGAAGGCGAGUCUCUGGACAUUUCCUGACGCUGAGGCACGAAAGCCAGGGGAGCAAACGGG